UAGUUUAGUGGCGGACGGGUGAGUAACACGUGAGCAACCUGCCUUCGAGAGGGGAAUAACGGCUGGAAACGGUCGCUAAUACCGCAUAACAUACAGGAGGGACAUCCCUUUUGUAUCAAAGAUUUAUCGCUCGAAGAUGGGCUCGCGUCCGAUUAGGUAGUUGGUGAGGUAACGGCCCACCAAGCCGACGAUCGGUAGCCGGACUGAGAGGUUGAACGGCCACACUGGGACUGAGACACGGCCCAGACUCCUACGGGAGGCAGCAG
RNAcentral lists this ribosomal RNA (266 nucleotides) under uncultured bacterium. Its description in RNAcentral is "partial 16S ribosomal RNA". It matches the Rfam family "Bacterial small subunit ribosomal RNA", at positions 88 to 354 of the family's 1533-position model. The record is from RNAcentral.